RNAcentral lists this ribosomal RNA (1373 nucleotides) under Grapholita delineana. RNAcentral describes it as "16S ribosomal RNA". The record is from RNAcentral. Lineage: Eukaryota; Metazoa; Arthropoda; Insecta; Lepidoptera; Tortricidae.
UGGGGGAAAAUUAGUAUAUAAAAUUAUAAUAAAAAUAAUUUUAAUAAAAUAUGAUGGGGUUAAAGUAUUUUAUAAAGAAAAAAUUGUUUAAUUUAUAAAGAAUUAGUAUUGUGAAAGAAAUUUGAAAUAUUUGAAAAUUAAUUAAUUUAAUAGUAAAUUUUAAUUAUUGUAUCUUGUGUAUCAGAGUUUAUUAAUAAAGAUUUUUAUAAAAAAAAAAUUCUCGAAUUUGAAAGAGUUAAUUAGUUAAAAAAAUUAUUGUUGCAAAAAUAUUUUUCAUAAUUAAUUAGAAAUGAAAUGUUAAUCGUUUUUAAAUAUAUCUAGUUUUUUUAGAAAAAAAUUUAAUUUUAAAUUAUUUUAAUUAAAAAUUUAAAUAAUAAAAUUUUUAAAAAAUUAAAUUUAAUAUUUUAAGGGAUAAGCUUUAAUUUAAAUUUUUAUAAUAGUUUUUUUUUUAUUAAUUGAAAAUUUUAAAAUUUAUAUUGUUUAAAAAUUAUAAUUUUUUAUAAAUAAUUUCAAAAUAAAAUAAAAUUUAAAAAAUUAAAUUUAAAUUUUUAUAAAAUAAGUAAAAUUUAAUAUUAUAAUUUUAGUUAUAAUGAUAAAAUUAGUAUAUGAAUAUAUAAUAUAAAAAUUAUUAAAUAUGAAUUAGUGGAAAAUUAAUUAUAAGGAAUUCGGCAAAUUUUUAUAUUCACUUGUUUAUCAAAAACAUGUCUUUUUGAAAUAAUUUAAAGUCUAAUCUGCCCACUGAUAAAAAUUAAAGGGCUGCAGUAUUUUGACUGUACAAAGGUAGCAUAAUCAUUAGUCUCUUAAUUGGUGACUUGUAUGAAAGAUUGGAUGAGAUAUAAACUGUCUUAUUAUUAUUAAUAAAAUUUAAUUUUUUAGUUAAAAAGCUAAAAUAUUUUUAAAAGACGAGAAGACCCUAUAGAGUUUUAUAUUAAAGUUAAUUAUAAAUUUUUAUAUUAAUGUUAAGUUUGAAUUAAUUUUAAUAUUUUGUUGGGGUGAUAAAAAAAUAAAAUUAACUUUUUUUAUAUAUUAUAUAUAUAUAUAUAUAUAUAUAACAUUAAUUAAUGAAUAAAUGAUCCAUAAAUUAUGAUUAAAAGAUUAAAUUACCUUAGGGAUAACAGCGUAAUUUUUUUUUUUAGUUCAAAUAAAAAAGAAAGUUUGCGACCUCGAUGUUGGAUUAAGAUAAAAUUUAAAUGCAAAAGUUUAAAAUUUUGAUCUGUUCGAUCAUUAAAAUCUUACAUGAUCUGAGUUCAAACCGGUGUAAGCCAGGUUGGUUUCUAUCUUUAUAUACAUUAAAUAUUUUAGUACGAAAGGAUCAAAUAUUUAAAAUAAUUUUAUUUUAUAAGAAUAUUACUAAAUGUAUUUGUUUAAAUUAA